This 465-nucleotide ribosomal RNA is filed under the name uncultured bacterium. RNAcentral describes it as "bacterial SSU rRNA". It matches the Rfam family "Bacterial small subunit ribosomal RNA", at positions 331 to 793 of the family's 1533-position model. The record is from RNAcentral.
CCAGACUCCUACGGGAGGCAGCAGUGAGGAAUAUUGGUCAAUGGACGGGAGUCUGAACCAGCCAAGUAGCGUGAAGGAUGACUGCCCUAUGGGUUGUAAACUUCUUUUAUAUGGGAAUAAAACAGGGUAUGCAUACCCUCUUGUAUGUACCAUAUGAAUAAGGAUCGGCUAACUCCGUGCCAGCAGCCGCGGUAAUACGGAGGAUCCGAGCGUUAUCCGGAUUUAUUGGGUUUAAAGGGAGCGUAGAUGGGUUGUUAAGUCAGUUGUGAAAGUUUGCGGCUCAACCGUAAAAUUGCAAUUGAUACUGGCAGCCUUGAGUACAGUUGAGGUAGGCGGAAUUCGUGGUGUAGCGGUGAAAUGCUUAGAUAUCACGAAGAACUCCGAUUGCGAAGGCAGCUUACUAAACUGCCACUGACAUUGAUGCUCGAAAGUGUGGGUAUCAAACAGGAUUAGAUACCCCAGUAU